GCUUGUACUCUCAGAGACCCGGCUUUGCUAAGAUGACCUUGCAUCCCUAACCAUCCUCAUUUCAUUGGCUGUACUUCUCUCACACCACUCUCCUCCCCACUGUGACUUGCAGACUCUUCUUUUACUGCCAACUCUCAGAAACCCUUGUUCUUUGAAGAGUAUAAUCCUUCUAGAUCCGGAUCCUCACAGGAUUGAAUAUGGCCUGGACCAUGUGGGCAUACAGGUAUAAAGAACAUGUUCUAGCAACAAAGCAUUUGAAUCAUCAUCAUCGCCGUCAUCACCGCCACCUUGGGGGCCAUAACCGCAGGCAUCAUCAUCACCACUGCCGUCACCACCAUCACCACCACCACCAUCAUAAGCAUCACCACCACCACCAUCAUAAGCAUCAUCACCAUCUCCUACCAUACUAAAGUAUUACCAACUCUGGCAGACUCUAUAUGAGACAUACUCUGCUUAUUCAGCUUUUUCUCUUAAUCUUCUGUCUCAUCAUCACUUCUCCUAUGCAUAUUAUUCCUUGACAAAAUAGACAGCUUUUGCAUUUUGUAAAGCCAGGGGAAACUUUGUAUGCUAAUUGUAAAAUAAAAUUACCAUGUUUCUUUUUGUGC
Long non-coding RNA from Dromiciops gliroides (monito del monte), 605 nucleotides. RefSeq lists it as uncharacterized. NCBI's taxonomy places the organism in Eukaryota, Metazoa, Chordata, Mammalia, Microbiotheria, Microbiotheriidae. The transcript has 2 exons. The record is from RefSeq and is a predicted model, not a curated record.